Molecule: long non-coding RNA, 591 nt
Filed under: Salmo salar (Atlantic salmon)
Lineage: Eukaryota; Metazoa; Chordata; Actinopteri; Salmoniformes; Salmonidae
Description: lncRNA (ENSSSAG00000089708.1, ENSSSAG00020069617.1)
Source: RNAcentral
GACAAGCUGACACAUUUAUAUAUAUAUAUAUAUGUACAUUUUUUGAAGCGUUAGUUACUGGAAAAACUGCAGUGCUUGUCACAUGUCAUGAGAAUCCUAGAGGUGGAGCUAAAGACAGGAAGUCAGUGGAUCCACUAGCUGUUAUGGCAGGAACAGGCCAUGGUGUGGUUGGAAUGGUGGAGGUGGUCCUGAGGAGCGUAGCGGCUGGGUUCGCCAUCGGAGAGACCGCUCUGGCUGCUGCCGAACCCUACUUGACCACAACUGGACCACUUAUGAUCACCGCCGCCCUAUCAGAGAAAAGAACACAGCAGAGAGCCGAAGGAAACAGCAAAUGGUCAGAGAGGUUACUGCUAUACUCAGUUGUUGUGGCAAUAGUAGGUUUCCCUAUGGGUGUGGGGGAUACAGGUGGGUCAGGGUCAGAGGUGACUGUGAUGCUGGGGUCAGUGCUGUGGGUGGGGACCCUGGCUUCAGGACUGCUAGGAGCUGCUCUGGGAACAGUGGCUGUGGUGAGUUUGGGACCAGAGGGGGCAGCGAGGGUGGCGGUGGGGGCGGCAGUGACAUCCUCUUGUAGCCUGAGACUCAUUCUCCCAG